Molecule: ribosomal RNA, 443 nt
Filed under: uncultured bacterium
Lineage: Bacteria
Description: partial 16S ribosomal RNA
Rfam family: Bacterial small subunit ribosomal RNA
Source: RNAcentral
CCUACGGGAGGCAGCAGUGGGGAAUAUUGGGCAAUGGGCGCAAGCCUGACCCAGCAACGCCGCGUGGAGGAAGAAGGCUUUCGGGUUGUAAACUUCUUUUCUCAGGGACGAAGCAAGUGACGGUACCUGAGGAAUAAGCCACGGCUAACUACGUGCCAGCAGCCGCGGUAAUACGUAGGUGGCAAGCGUUAUCCGGAUUUACUGGGUGUAAAGGGCGUGUAGGCGGGACUGCAAGUCAGAUGUGAAAACCACGGGCUCAACCUGUGGCCUGCAGUUGAAACUGUAGUUCUUGAGUACUGGAGAGGCAGACGGAAUUCCUAGUGUAGCGGUGAAAUGCGUAGAUAUUAGGAGGAACACCAGGGGCGAAGGCGGCUUACUGGACUGUAACUGACGUUGAGGCUCGAAAGCGUGGGGAGCAAACAGGAUUAGAUACCCCUGUAGUC